This 253-nucleotide ribosomal RNA is filed under the name uncultured bacterium. RNAcentral describes it as "partial 16S ribosomal RNA". It matches the Rfam family "Bacterial small subunit ribosomal RNA", at positions 524 to 776 of the family's 1533-position model. The record is from RNAcentral.
UACGUAGGGCGCAAGCGUUGUCCGGAAUUAUUGGGCGUAAAGAGCUCGUAGGCGGCCUGUCGCGUCUGCUGUGAAAUCCCGGGGCUUAACCCCGGGCGUGCAGUGGAUACGGGCUGGCUGGAGGCAGGCAGGGGAGAACGGAAUUCCCGGUGUAGCGGUGAAAUGCGCAGAUAUCGGGAGGAACACCGGUGGCGAAGGCGGUUCUCUGGGCCUGUUCUGACGCUGAGGAGCGAAAGCGUGGGGAGCAAACAGG